Molecule: ribosomal RNA, 863 nt
Filed under: uncultured bacterium
Lineage: Bacteria
Description: bacterial SSU rRNA
Rfam family: Bacterial small subunit ribosomal RNA
Source: RNAcentral
GCGUGCCUACCACAUGCAAGUCGAGCGCGAAUGGGAGCAAUCCCUAGUAGAGCGGCGCACGGGUGCGUAACACGUGGGUAAUCUGCCUGGAAGCCCGGGACAACCUUCCGAAAGGAUGGCUAAUACCGGAUAAGCCUACGGGAUCCUCGGAUCCUGAAGGAAAAGGUGGCCUCUGUAUACAAGCUAUCACUUCCAGAUGAGCCCGCGGCCCAUCAGCUAGUUGGCGGGGUAAUGGCCCACCAAGGCUACGACGGGUAGCUGGUCUGAGAGGACGAUCAGCCACACUGGAACUGAGACACGGUCCAGACUCCUACGGGAGGCAGCAGUGGGGAAUUUUGCACAAUGGGCGAAAGCCUGAUGCAGCAACGCCGCGUGUGUGAUGAAGGUCUUCGGAUUGUAAAGCACUUUCGACCGGGACGAAACACCCUUGGCUAACAUCCAAGGGCCUGACGGUACCGGGAGAAGAAGCACCGGCUAACUCUGUGCCAGCAGCCGCGGUAAUACAGAGGGUGCAAGCGUUGUUCGGAAUUAUUGGGCGUAAAGCGCGUGUAGGCGGCUUGGCAAGUCGGGUGUGAAAUCCCUCAGCUUAACUGAGGAAGUGCGCCCGAAACUGCCGAGCUUGAGUACCGGAGAGGGUGGCGGAAUUCCCCAAGUAGAGGUGAAAUUCGUAGAUAUGGGGAGGAACACCGGUGGCGAAGGCGGCCACCUGGACGGAUACUGACGCUGAGACGCGAAAGCGUGGGGAGCAAACAGGAUUAGAUACCCUGGUAGUCCACGCCGUAAACGAUGAGAACUAGGUGUCGUGGGUGUUGACCCCCGCGGUGCCGUAGCUAACGCAUUAAGUUCUCCGCCUGGGAAGUACG